CUAAAUGAAAUUGGCUUUGUUCUUUUCUGACUUCAUGUUUUGCUUGUCCCUGGCCAGGCCAGCUGGUAGGUGUCUGGAGACAUGGUAAAAUCAGAGCACAGCAAAUCCAUCUAGCCCUGGGUAGGGGGUGGGGCAGGGAGGAGGAAGGAGCAUUCCCCUGAAAGAUGACCCAAGUGCCUUUCACAGGAGUCAGCCCACCUCUCUCAGGAUGGUGGAGGCAAGAGCUUGCUGACAAGUUGAAGCAGAAGCAAGCUGUGAUCCCUGUGAUGGCACGUCCUGGCUCAUCUAAUCAGUAGACUUUGGUGUGAGGCCAGAGGCCUGCUACACCCUCCCUUUCUGACCCCUGCAUUUGCUGACUCCUACUGGAGCCUGCUUGACACGGAUGGAUCUGGGGACCUCUGUGUUCAGCCCAUAGCUGGUUUCCUGCAGAGCUGGGUCAGAAGGCUUGACCGUCUCCUUCCUUCCUCCUAGGCUCUCUCAUCCAUCUGCUGACCUGGGCUUCCUGACUCUCUGUCCAGUGCUCUUACUCCCACUAUUCCAUGGUUGCAUUAUUCAGAGAAGCAGCUUGUGCCUUCACUGUAAUCUUCAUCCAGGAGGACCAGGAAGGAGCAGAGCAGCACUGACAUCUGCCCGUCCCUGGAGUGGGGCCAAGUGACUUAUAAAAGGCACAGACAUGACCUAAAGCCUGAUCACCCUGCUGGGGGCCCUCCUUGUGAAGACCACAUCUUAGGGGACAGCCAGCCAUUUGUAAGUGCAUCCCUCAGAGCCAAACUGAUAUCCAAAUUUUGAUAAUAGACAAAAGUUAUAUGACUCCAAUUCUAGAGGGUCAACUUCUUUGUGACUCAGUUUUCUCAUGUGUAAAAUGGGAGUACGCUUAUAGGGGUGUUGAGAGAAGGAAAUGAAUUAACAUCUGGGCCUGGUUUAUGAUUGAUAUUAGCUGUUAUUACGAUGUCUUAAUACCAAGUCUUCCUACCAAGUAUGGGGACACACACACCCUACUGAUCAGUUAUUCUCUGUGACACCCCAACCUCCACCCAGCAGGGGAUUUGUUUGUUCCCAUCAACUCCGAAGCUGAAGAGCAGCAUCUGCUUUGCAUUGUGUGCACCAACGGUUUAGGGAGUGAAGGUGUCUCAUCACCCAGUCCCCAAAAGGAGCCUCUUACUGCUUGCCAUAAGCCCUGUGUGUUGUCAUGCAACCAAAGGGUCCGUUCUGUGUUCAGAUGUCUGGUGUGGCCCCUGCCGGCUUUGUCUCCUUGCCCAUCACCUCUCCUAACACAAGUACCUGCCUCCAUUUCCUCUGGUGCUUGGCCAUCCCUGUUAGUCUGCAUCCACUGAAUAUUGUGCAGACAGCGGUUCUUCUGAACUGUUCACUAGGAGUUCCUUAAACAAAUCACCAAGAGUGUGCCUUCAGAAGCUCCUCCAUCCUGGGUCAGUACCCUUCGGCUGCAUCCCAUCACUAUAUUCUUGUGAUGUCUUUCUUCCCUCCCCAUGUCAAAAAUUACUCUCAGGAAAGAUCUGCAAACUCAUUCAUUCUGAUGGGUAAGUGACUAUUAGGUCCUCGUCUUACUGAGGGUUAGAAGACUUCCAGGUAGCCCUCCUUAAUGGUGUGGACUAAUGGCCUCUUCAUAUAUCCAACAGCGUUCCCUGAGGCUGUGCUGCCUUGGAUGCUGCUGUGAGUAUCACUAUUGCCAUUGUUACUGGUAACCAUUUACAAGCAUCUGCUAUGCACCAGGUAAGAUAUUUGGCAUCGUAGAGUGUAAGUGGUCAAAAGCACAUGCUUUACUGAUUCUGAACCUCAUUUAUUAUGCCAAAAGUUCCAGAGGGAGCAAAGAUUUAAAUGCAAUGGAGCUUGUGCCAAGACUUAUGGACAAGGAUACACUUUAGAGCCCCAAUAUAAUGGCAAAAGAUGGGAAACCACUGAAUGCCCAUUGACAGGGGUUGAUUAAAUAAGUUAUAGCAUAUCCAUUUAUAGAAUACUCUGCAUUUGUUAAAAAGAAUGAGGCUACAUCUGUAGCCAUUGAUAAUGAAACAAUCUCCAAGAUAUAAGUAAAGUGAAAACAAAGCAAGGUGUAGAAGAAUAUCUAGCAUAUGCUACUGUGUGAAAGCAAACAGAAGAGUAUAUGUAUAGACUAAAUUUAGACUAAUUUUAGAAAGAAAAAGGGAGUUGACAACAGUGAUUGCUUUUGGGAGAAGUGUUGAUGAUCUGGGUAGUAGGGACACUUACUUUUUAUCUUUCAAGGGAGUUAGGUUCUUUUUAUUCUUUACCAUAUGCAGGUAUUAUUUUUGAAUUUAAAAAGUUUAAAAAAUAAAUGCUGUGGAGUCAGACUUGGAUGUAAGUCCAACUGCUUAUCAUUUCUAGCCAUGUGGCCUUGACUAAGUUACUUACCCUCUUCUAGCCCUGGUCUUCUAGCUGCUGGAUGAGGAGACUGUAGCUUGUGGUGAGGAUUAAGUGAGAUAGCACCUGUGAAGUUCUCAGCACAGUGCCUGGCCCAAAAGCAAACCAUAAAUUGUUAGAUGCUUGCUCUGAGCUGUUUAUGUCCCUCCAAAAUUCAUAUGUUGAUGUCCUAAUCCCCAGUGUGAUGGUAGUUGGAAGUGGGGGGUCUUUGGAAGGUAAAUAGGUUUAGAUGAGUUUGUGAGGGUGGAGCGUGCAUGAUGGGUAACCCUUAUAAGGGGAUGAAGGGACCACAGCUCUCUUUACCUUGUGAAGACACAACAAGGAGGCAACUGUCUAUUCACCAGGAAGAGGGAUCUCACCAAGAACCCAAGACUGCCAGCCUCUAAAAGUGUGAGAAAUAAAUGUUUGUUGUUUAAACCACCCAAUUGUUAUAAUAGCCCAAACUGACUAAGACAGUGCUUUAUGUAAGUAUCUCUAAUUAGCAUUCUGGAUGUAGUACUAUUCAGUUAAGCUAUGUUCUGUGCAUUAGGUACCCAGCAAAAUCUGGUGAUGCACAAGCGAUGGGAGAGUCAGACAGUGGACAACCAACUGCAACAAUUCCAGGGGGAAGGAUCGAUGCAGGGAGCUGAUUAAACUAGACAUCUCUGGCAGGAAGAAGAACUGGAAGGACUCACAGGCUCCGGUGGCCACCCUACAACCAGAAGACAGACAUCUAACAAUGUAUUGUCAGAUGAUGGAUUAGCCAGGCCUGGGGAAGAGAGCUGAGUGUGCAGCCUCCUUCCCUGUCUCCUGGGUGACAAAGCCGCUGGAUGACCCCGCCAACAAUAACGAGAUGAAAAUGAAGAACACUGCAGUAUAAUGAGCAUGAUAAAAAUAGAGAUGUUGCUAAAUAAUGGGUCGGCCAUGGCUGAGGAGCAGGAGAAAGAGCCAAGCCCAAAGGAAUUAGAUAAGGCCUUCCUGUGUGGUCUCCAAGCUUGACCCCCUGAUGUGUUACUGUUGCUCAACCAGGCCAUCGAUGGUUUUGAGUCCCUCAUGUGGCAAAGAUGUCAGAGCGGGAUUGGAGGGUGGGCCUAAGUGAAAAUCCCCAGCAGGCUCUAUCCUGGUCACUGUGGCUCUGACCUCCACCGGGGGAGGGACAAAGGUGUGGUCAGCACACAUGCUGAUGGUGGUUACGAAUUACUGCCUUUAGUAGGAACCUCUUGCCUGCCAAUGAGUAUCAGCAAAUAGUCUGAGUUAAUGCACCGAAGUUUUUCAGAACAUUGCACCUCUCAUCUACAUAGUGCAGAGUGGAAGAAGCUUGUUAAUUAUGCUUUUGUUUGUAUUUUUGUUUAGUUGGUAGCUUGGAGUAUCUGCCAGGAAAGGCAGGCGCCCCUCGGGAGGGAGGUACCCUGGUGCUACAGGGACGGCUGCCUGUGAAGCCUUCUGGCACCAACUCCCUCUGAGGUCAGGAAUCCAGGACUGGCUCAGCUGGGUGGUUCUAGCUCAGGGUCUCCUGUGAAGUUGCAGUCAAGAAGAUGGCCAGGGCUGCGGUCACCUGAAGACUUGAUGGGUUGGAGGAGCUACUUCCAAGAGAGUCACUCACAUGGCUGUGCCUCAGUUUCUCUCUGUCUGUUAUCAAGAGCCCUCAGUUUCUCACCAAGUAGGCUUCUCCACAGGCUGCUCAAGACACAGCAACUUACUCUCUUCAAGAGAGCAAGAAAGAAGCCAUGAUGUCUUUUAUGCCUUAGCCUUGGAAGUGACAUGCCAUCACACCUGCCAUAUGCUAUUGGUUGCACAGAUUAACCAUGGUACAAUGUGGGGAGAACAAGGGUGUGAAUACCAAGAGACAGGUACCACUAACCAUCUUGGAGCUAGCCACCACACCUAUUGAUGUCAUCCUGCAUGUCCUCUCAGUUGUCAAUAUAAACUAUGUUUAAUGGACUCGUGCUCCACAGAGUUGUAUUCCAUGGGAGAGAAUCCCUCUGUGGUCUUAAGUGUGGCACUUUGUACAGAGCUCCUGUGACAUAAGUAACUCCAUCUCCAAAAAAGACUCCACCUUACAUUUCAAAAGGCACCUUGCCAAAAGAGAACAGAUAUUUUGCCUGAUCAAUAAGGACUACAUCUAACCAGAUAAGGACAUAACUAAGCACACUCUUCCACUAUCAGUUCUCACCAGAGGACUCUGGGGUGGCCAUUAAAAGAGCAGGACCUCACCUGCUCAAAAAGGCCACCUUAGAGACACCGUCUUGCUGUCACUCGUGAUAUGCAUUUGGCAUCUGGCAUCUGCCACCCAAAGCUCUGCCGCAUCAAAGACUUUUCCUUGCAAGACCAACAGCUACUGCAGGCCAGACCAGAAGAUUAUUUUGUCUACUUUGGUCGCCCUGGACUGAUUCAUUAAUGUUUUUUUCUAUCCCUUCUCUCUUGAUGAUAAACGUUACUUUGUUUGUUGUGGAAUGUUUAAUUUAUAACAUUUACAUAUUGAUCAAAUAGUAUUAUGUAUGGUUUGCAAUAAUGACUGAUUUGUGGAGUGACUUGGACCUAUGUGCCCAUGGCUCUGACAACUGAGUGAAUGAGAAGUACUAAGGAGGAUUGCCUUCUCGCUGAACUCCAUGUAGCUCAUAUGUUUUAUGUUUGAGACAGCAUCAGUAAAAGUCUGACAUUGUGGAAAGA
Long non-coding RNA from Macaca mulatta (Rhesus monkey), 5043 nucleotides. RefSeq lists it as uncharacterized. Lineage: Eukaryota; Metazoa; Chordata; Mammalia; Primates; Cercopithecidae. The record is from RefSeq and is a predicted model, not a curated record.